GACGAACGCUGGCGGCGUGCUUAACACAUGCAAGUCGAACGAUGAAGCCGGAGCUUGCUCUGGUGAAUUAGUGGCGAACGGGUGAGUAACACGUGUGUAACCUGCCCUUGACUCUGGGAUAACUGCGGGAAACUGUAGCUAAUACCGGAUACGACCCUCGGAGGCAUCUCCUGGGGGUGGAAAGAAUUUCGGUCAAGGAUGGACUCGCGGCCUAUCAGCUAGUUGGUGAGGUAAAGGCUCACCAAGGCGACGACGGGUAGCCGGCCUGAGAGGGUGAACGGCCACACUGGGAUUGAGACACGGCCCAGACUCCUACGGGAGGCAGCAGUGGGGAAUAUUGCACAAUGGGCGCAAGCCUGAUGCAGCAACGCCGCGUGAGGGAUGACGGCCUUCGGGUUGUAAACCUCUUUUAGCAGGGAAGAAGCGAAAGUGACGGUACCUGCAGAAAAAGCACCGGCUAACUACGUGCCAGCCGCCGCAGUAA
RNAcentral lists this ribosomal RNA (484 nucleotides) under uncultured bacterium. RNAcentral describes it as "partial 16S ribosomal RNA". It matches the Rfam family "Bacterial small subunit ribosomal RNA", at positions 28 to 523 of the family's 1533-position model. The record is from RNAcentral.